RNAcentral lists this ribosomal RNA (253 nucleotides) under uncultured bacterium. RNAcentral's name for it is "partial 16S ribosomal RNA". It matches the Rfam family "Bacterial small subunit ribosomal RNA", at positions 524 to 776 of the family's 1533-position model. The record is from RNAcentral.
UACGUAGGGUGCAAGCGUUGUCCGGAAUUAUUGGGCGUAAAGAGCUCGUAGGCGGUCUGUCGCGUCGGAUGUGAAAACCCAGGGCUCAACCCUGGGCCUGCAUUCGAUACGGGCAGACUAGAGUUCGGUAGGGGAGACUGGAAUUCCUGGUGUAGCGGUGGAAUGCGCAGAUAUCAGGAGGAACACCGGUGGCGAAGGCGGGUCUCUGGGCCGAAACUGACGCUGAGGAGCGAAAGCGUGGGGAGCAAACAGG